GUGCCAGCCGCCGCGGUAAUACGUAGGGGCCAAGCGUUGUCCGGAUUUAUUGGGCGUAAAGAGCUCGUAGGCGGUUCGGUAAGUCAGCUGUGAAAUCUCCACGCUCAACGUGGAGGGGUCAGCUGAUACUGCCGUGACUUGAGUCUGGUAGGGGAGUGCGGAAUUCCCGGUGUAGCGGUGAAAUGCGCAGAUAUCGGGAGGAACACCAGUGGCGAAGGCGGCACUCUGGGCCAGUACUGACGCUGAGGAGCGAAAGCGUGGGGAGCGAACAGGAUUAGAUACCCUGGUAGUCCACGCCGUAAACGUUGGGCACUAGGUGUGGGAACCUAUCGACGGUUUCCGUGCCGUAGCUAACGCAUUAAGUGCCCCGCCUGGGGAGUACGGCCGCAAGGCUAAA
RNAcentral lists this ribosomal RNA (397 nucleotides) under uncultured bacterium. RNAcentral's name for it is "bacterial SSU rRNA". It matches the Rfam family "Bacterial small subunit ribosomal RNA", at positions 505 to 898 of the family's 1533-position model. The record is from RNAcentral.